RNAcentral lists this ribosomal RNA (433 nucleotides) under uncultured bacterium. Its description in RNAcentral is "partial 16S ribosomal RNA". It matches the Rfam family "Bacterial small subunit ribosomal RNA", at positions 29 to 507 of the family's 1533-position model. The record is from RNAcentral.
AACGAACGCUGGCGGCAUGCCUAACACAUGCAAGUCGAACGAGACCUUCGGGUCUAGUGGCGCAGGGGUGCGUAACGCGUGGGAACCUGCCCUUAGGUUCGGAAUAACUCCCCGUAAGGUGUCCUCAUACCGGUUAAUGUCUUCGGGCCAAAGAUUUAUGGCCUUUGGGUGGGGCCGCGUUGGCUUGGCUAGUUGGUAGUGUAAAAGCCGGCCAACGCGACGUUCCAUGGCUGGUCUGAUAGGAUGAUCAGGCACACUGGGAAUGAGACACGGCCCAGUCUCGUACGGGGGGGAGCAGUGGGGAGUAUUAGGGGAGGAGCGAAAGCCUAGUCAAGCAAUGCGGGGUGAGUGAUGAAGGCCUUAGGGUUGUAAAGCUGUUUGACACGAGAUGAUAAUGACAGUACCGGGAGAAGAAGCUCCGGCUAACUCCGUG